Molecule: long non-coding RNA, 3840 nt
Organism: Columba livia (rock pigeon)
Lineage: Eukaryota; Metazoa; Chordata; Aves; Columbiformes; Columbidae
Exons: 2
Source: RefSeq, a predicted model, not a curated record
GCACGUGGUGCAGCAACAGUUUAUUUUCCUGCGAGAUGGGGAAUGCGGGACCUGCGAGCCGCCCGUUCGCGGAGGCUUCGCUUCCAGCUUCCCACCGAGGUUGGCUGGGGAGAGCCCUCCCCGAAACGCGGGCGGCUUCGGCUCCCUGCGUCCCCCCCGCGCCGCCCCCUGUGGAAGUGAGGUGCCCGUCGGCACUGGGCGCGAACUUCAAAAACCCAGAACUCCGAGCUCUGGGCUGAAGUUUCAUGCGCGAGAAGUUUUCUUGUGGAAAGUAAAACAAGCCGCCUUGCCUCGAAAGGCGGGUGCGGAUGCAGCGUGCUUUUUGUGCACGGCAAUGUGUAUAUUUAUGUUACUCCCGCACUGCCACGUGUUGGGCUGUUUGCGGACGAGGAGGCGCCGGGGGUUGUGAAGCAAACGCUUUAAACGGCUGAUGAAAUAAUGAAUUCCUACGGCAGUGCAGGGCUCCCGCCUCCCCCCACCUCCCUGCUCGGCGGCGGGGACAUCCACACAAACACGCGAUUCAACAGCAGAAGAGGAAGCAACAAGCGUUUUAACAGAAAAUCCUCCCAAGUACCUUGUAACUAUUUUUAUGUGGCGUAAUUACAGCGACCUUGCUGGAGAUAAAACAGCUGUUACAUCCUGAAUGGGGGACAUGUGUGGGGCGGGGGGAGGGGGAAGGAGGAGGAGGUGCGGCUGGUGAGUCACGUCAGUUAACAAGGCGCCGCUGUUGGGCACUGCGGGAUCAGGGUCUGGCUUUUGGGUGACGGUUGCGGUUGGCUACUGGUAUCUGGCGUGCCUUGCCCGGGGGGGGGCAGCAAGGUGGCUCGCAGCGCCGGAGCCAGGCGGGCGGUUGUGCCGCUCGGAGCUGACGGAGAGCCCGCCGGCGGCACGAGCCGGACCGUUACCCGCCGACCAACCGCCCUCCGCGCGCCCUUCGGGCCGCCUUCCCGCCGCCGUCGCCCCUGGGCUGCGUCCCGUUGGGUUCGUGCCCGGGCAGGGGUGAGAGAGCCCGGUGCUGCCGCCCCGUAAGGUGGCAGCUCGGGAGAACGAGGCUCGCUGCGGGGCUGGUGUUUGUAAUGUGACAAGAAGCGAGCUGUGUCUCCGAGGGACUGGUGACUGAGGGGGGAGGGUGUGCGCGCACGCCGCCGUUUUUUUUUUGUUGUUGUUGUUGGUUUUUUUUUCCCCCGUGUUUUGUUUUUGUUGUUUAAAAUCCUGCUUGCCAGCUGUGGAGGCUGACUCUUCCAACUGGUGUUUUGAGUGUCCGGGCAUGGCCAAGCUAAAAAACUAAUUACGGGAAGUUAACAAAAGACACGUCAAGGAUUUGAAGAGAUUUCCCUUUCUCCAUACCGCCCAAGCUGCCCCACGCUUACUUACUGUCCUCAGGGCUGCCAGAAAGUUUGUGAACCAAACUCUUUCUUUUUGUUUUUUAGGUUUGUUUGGGUUGGAUUUGUUGACAAUUUUCCAGGUUUUUUUUUUUUGUUUUUUUUUUAGCCAAGUCACUUUUAUGAGGGGAAAAAUAGAAGUUUUAUUUUCAGACUGAUCUCAGGCUUGCUUUUAAGAGCGUUGGGAAGAACCUUUCUAUCUCUGCUGGAACGUCAGUUCCUAGGAAUUUUCUCAGAGGGACACAAGGAAAAGAUUAGUUUCAACUUAGUGUGACAGCUUUUUAGCUAUCAGAAGCUGGCAGUGGACCAGUGGGUGUUCAUUCCUAGCUCCCCGGGUACAAAAUGCACAGAGAGAAACAUUUUUUGGUACAAAGCUAUUUUGCAGAUGUGAAUAUGGAGGGUGUUUAUCCAUAGUUGGGACCACUGGGAGAGACAGUGGGCUUGUGCAGUGCACCUUGUGGUUGUUGGCUCUGUAGGUGCAUUGGAUCUGUCUACAAAUUCUGGCUGUCUUUGCCUCUCGAAGACUCUUGAUAUGUGUUGGAGGUGGUAGGGUGGAUAAAGUUUGCAGAAAACUACCAGUAAAACCUCAGCACACCUGGAACAAGCUUGUAUCUAAAGACAGAGCAGAUGAUUUUUCUCAUUUGUCCUGAGCUCAAACCUUAAGAACAGAACAACUUGAUUUUACGAUGAAUGCAAUAACUUGGUGGCCCAUAAGUUGAUGAUGGGUGUUGCUAUGAGCUGCUGCUUGCAGGCAGAAGUAGAUGGUAUGUAAAACAAUUUGUACCUUUCUGCAGUUUUUCAUGUUGGCGAGGCUGUGUUUUUUAGAAUUACUUGAUGUGCUGGAGCUGCAUGAGCACUAACAAAUGUAUUUCACAUGCAGUUCAUACUGCUCACUGAGCAACUUUAGCACCUGUGCAGCUCCUUGGGUAAGCAGUGGAUCAAGAUAUAUCUGUGCCAACAGGUUUGAACAGCUUGAUUUAGUCAGGGCAAGUUCAGCUCUGUCUGGACCCAUCUGCACAGACAUGCUGUAAGUAUUCAUAAAACUGGAAUCCAAGAAUGGAGAGAAAUAAAACUGGAGGGGCUAGAUUUUGAAUUGCUCAAUAACUGUCCAUAUCAUAGGUUUAUCAGUGUUCUGCGGUGAUGCAUGCAUGUUUCUGGCAUAUGGUAUAUUGUGUGAUUAAUUGUAUGUUUCUUACUUUACAAGUGCUUUGCUUUGAGGUGCUGGGACUGUGUUUGUCUGACUACUGCUGAAGUCUCCAAGGCCAUGUUUUGGGCAUAGAAACUCUUUAAUGAAGUACUCUGGAAAAUCAGGACCUAGGCAUCUCAGGCCUGUGGAUGUUUAUCUUCACCUGUUUGUUCCAGUUUCACAAACAGGAGAGUGGUGUGGGUGUGGUUUAUUCCUUUAUAUUCAGGACGGAAUUAAGUAGUGCGCAGUAAGUUAAACAGGUCAUACCUUUGGCAAUGAGAAUAAAGCAAUGUUAACGAAUAACUCUUCUUCCAGUGAACAAAUCUGUUCUAUGCAUGGAAAACCAGGAAUCACUGCUGUGGGUCACACCCAUUCUUCACCUUUUUUUCUCCAUGGCAUUGCCUAGUCUCAGAUAUAUCAGAGGAAAAGGAGAGACUACAGAAGGCAGAUGUGAGCAUCAUCUUGGUUUCCUCAGCAGCUCCUUGCAUGGAACCUUGUCAAAAACCUUUUGGAAAUCUAAAUAAAUUAUGCCAACCAUCUGUGCUCCCAUAAUUAGAGCUCGCUUUGCCAUCUUUGUGCAAGGGCAAAAAGGGUAAAUCAAAGUCAUGAAGAUAGUCCUAAGGUUUCAGAACUUCUGCAUAAUAGACUCUGCAGCUUCAGCAUGCUUUACACUUUUUCUAUGUGGGCAUUCUUGUGGUUAUUGAAGAUCAAAGAACAACAAAACCCCUAGGAAUUCCUUAUGUAGAAUCAUACUGACUCCUUUCUGGUACAGCAUCAGGUUUGCAACUAUUUCGUUGUUGGUAUCAACUUUAGUAUGGACUCGAAGUAAGGGGCAGUAGUUAUUUUCAACAAGGAUCAGCCACUGCAGUGAUCUGUGCUUGCCACUGGGGUUUCUACAUGUCUACUGGCAAAGGGGAGCAACAGCUUCUCUAAAAGUUUCUAGUGCCGAGUGACUCAGUAUAUAAGCACAUGGAACUAGAAUAUUAUGAUUACUGUAGGGGCAACUUAAGUAUAUACAGUAAUGUUAGUUAUGGUAUAAUGCAGAAACAUCACAAAUGGCAUAAUCACUCUCUGAGACUAAAAGUUGUGCAGAUACUCUGGGGAGUCUUUGAAACUUGCAUUAAUGUAAAAGCAAUUUCUUCAUAGUUUGAAGUCAGACUACCAUGUAACAUUAAAAAUAUUAAAAGUCAAUUAUAGGUUUAAUCUUGCUUGGAGUAAUACUGUUAACUUUUAGGUUUUAAUUUAAAAUAAAAGUACGAGUUUGACAAGGAA